CCUACGGGGGGCUGCAGUGGGGAAUAUUGGACAAUGGGGGCAACCCUGAUCCAGCCAUGCCGCGUGAAUGAUGAAGGCCUUCGGGUUGUAAAGUUCUUUUGGUAGGGACGAUGAUGACGGUACCUACAGAAUAAGCUCCGGCUAACUUCGUGCCAGCAGCCGCGGUAAUACGAAGGGAGCUAGCGUUGUUCGGAAUUACUGGGCGUAAAGAGCGCGUAGGCGGUUUAACAAGUCAGGCGUGAAAGCCCUGGGCUCAACCCGGGAAUUGCGCUUGAGACUGUUUUUCUUAGAGUACGAGAGAGGUAAGUGGAAUUCCCAGUGUAGCAGUGAAAUGCGUAGAUAUUGGGAGGAACACCAGUGGCGAAGGCGGCUUACUGGCUCGUGACUGACGCUAAGGCGCGAAAGCGUGGGGAGCAAACAGGAUUAGAUACCCCAGUAGUC
This 441-nucleotide ribosomal RNA is filed under the name uncultured Alphaproteobacteria bacterium. RNAcentral's name for it is "bacterial SSU rRNA". It matches the Rfam family "Bacterial small subunit ribosomal RNA", at positions 338 to 795 of the family's 1533-position model. The record is from RNAcentral. Lineage: Bacteria; Pseudomonadati; Pseudomonadota; Alphaproteobacteria.